UACAGAGGUCUCAAGCGUUGUUCGGAAUUACUGGGCGUAAAGGGUUUGUAGGUGGCCGGCUAAGUCAGACGUGAAAUCCCUCAGCUUAACUGGGGAACUGCGUCUGAAACUGAUCGGCUCGAGUGCAGGAGAGGAACGCGGAAUUCCAGGUGUAGCGGUGAAAUGCGUAGAUAUCUGGAGGAACACCGGUGGCGAAGGCGGCGUUCUGGACUGCAACUGACACUGUAAAACGAAAGCCAGGGGAGCAAACGGG
Molecule: ribosomal RNA, 253 nt
Filed under: uncultured bacterium
Lineage: Bacteria
Description: partial 16S ribosomal RNA
Rfam family: Bacterial small subunit ribosomal RNA
Source: RNAcentral